UCUGAAAUUCUAGAUUAGCCUUGAUGUGGCUGAGUUGGUUGUUCAUGACUCCGUAGAAGAUUGGGGAGAUGGGGGAAUUAUGCAUUGUCUAAAGGUAGAAAUGAGCUCUCGUCCAGAAUGCAUACCCAGUUUUUUGGAGCUCCUGAAGAUUUGGCCCGAGGUACUCUUCUUCGGGUUUAAGAUUGAAGGACAUUACCUUCUUUCCUCUAAGUAUUCGAACAAGAAGACCCGUAGUGCCUUUAUUUUUACGGUUUUUGCUAUUCGAAGAUAUUUUGCUCUUUCUGCCGGCCACGGUCAUGUCAGAGUGUCACGGUAGAGACACUUUACUAGACUUUAGUACUUAUUGUGCUUCUGUCAGGAUAAGGAUUGUAUCUUGUAUUCCUAUACUAGAUUAGCUCCCGUGCGAUGCACGGUUUUAACCAAAAUUCUUUGUUAAGAUUUGUAUAAGAAGAUAUAUCAUCUACAUGCAUUGUUAAUUGUUAGUUGUUAAUAUUCUUAUUGAA
Molecule: long non-coding RNA, 503 nt
Organism: Spinacia oleracea (spinach)
Lineage: Eukaryota; Viridiplantae; Streptophyta; Magnoliopsida; Caryophyllales; Amaranthaceae
Exons: 2
Source: RefSeq, a predicted model, not a curated record